Molecule: transfer RNA, 72 nt
Organism: Camelus ferus (Wild Bactrian camel)
Lineage: Eukaryota; Metazoa; Chordata; Mammalia; Artiodactyla; Camelidae
Rfam family: tRNA
About the family: Transfer RNA (tRNA) molecules are approximately 80 nucleotides in length. Their secondary structure includes four short double-helical elements and three loops (D, anti-codon, and T loops).
Source: Rfam
GGGUAUAUAGCUCAGUGGUAGAACGCAUGCUUAGCAUACAUGAGGUUCUGGGUUCGAUCCCCAGUAUCUCUA